CCUACGGGUCGCACCAGUGGGGAAUAUUGCACAAUGGGCGCAAGCCUGAUGCAGCCAUGCCGCGUGUAUGAAGAAGGCCUUCGGGUUGUAAAGUACUUUCAGCGGGGAGGAAGGUGUUGUGGUUAAUAACCGCAGCAAUUGACGUUACCCGCAGAAGAAGCACCGGCUAACUCCGUGCCAGCAGCCGCGGUAAUACGGAGGGUGCAAGCGUUAAUCGGAAUUACUGGGCGUAAAGCGCACGCAGGCGGUCUGUCAAGUCGGAUGUGAAAUCCCCGGGCUCAACCUGGGAACUGCAUUCGAAACUGGCAGGCUAGAGUCUUGUAGAGGGGGGUAGAAUUCCAGGUGUAGCGGUGAAAUGCGUAGAGAUCUGGAGGAAUACCGGUGGCGAAGGCGGCCCCCUGACAAAGACUGACGCUCAGGUGCGAAAGCGUGGGGAGCAAACAGGAUUAGAUACCCGCGUAGUC
Molecule: ribosomal RNA, 464 nt
Filed under: uncultured bacterium
Lineage: Bacteria
Description: bacterial SSU rRNA
Rfam family: Bacterial small subunit ribosomal RNA
Source: RNAcentral